GGUGUAGGCGGCUUGGAAAGUGUCGCGUGAAAUCCAACGGCUCAACCGUUGAAUGGCGCGGCAAACUACCUGGCUUGAGGUCGGUAGAGGUGCCUGGAACUCUUGGUGGAGCGGUGAAAUGCGUAGAUAUCAAGAGGAACGCCGGAGGCGAAAGCGGGGCACUGGGCCGAUUCUGACGCUGAGACCCGAAAGCGUGGGGAGCAAACAGGAUUAGAUACCCUGGUAGUCC
RNAcentral lists this ribosomal RNA (229 nucleotides) under uncultured bacterium. RNAcentral describes it as "partial 16S ribosomal RNA". It matches the Rfam family "Bacterial small subunit ribosomal RNA", at positions 568 to 796 of the family's 1533-position model. The record is from RNAcentral.